AGCGAACGCUGGCGGCAGGCUUAACACAUGCAAGUCGAACGCAUCCUUCGGGGUGAGUGGCAGACGGGUGAGUAACACGUUGGAACGUACCCUUCGAUCUGGGAUAACUUCGGGAAACUGGAGCUAAUACCGGAUACGCCCUUUUGGGGAAAGGUUUACUGUCGAAGGAUCGGCCCGCGUCUGAUUAGCUAGUUGGUGGGGUAACGGCCUACCAAGGCGACGAUCAGUAGCUGGUCUGAGAGGAUGAUCAGCCACACUGGGACUGAGACACGGCCCAGACUACUACGGGAGGCAGAAGAGGGGAAUAUUGGAAAAUGGGCGAAAGCCUGAGCCAGCCAUGCCGCGAGAGUGAUGAAGGCCUUAGGGUAGUAAAGCUCUUUUGUCCGGGAAGAUAAUGACGGUACCGGAAGAAUAAGCCACGGCUAACUUCGUG
Molecule: ribosomal RNA, 433 nt
Filed under: uncultured bacterium
Lineage: Bacteria
Description: partial 16S ribosomal RNA
Rfam family: Bacterial small subunit ribosomal RNA
Source: RNAcentral